UUAUUUUGUUAUAAUAAAAGACGUUCAUGACUACAAUGUUUGUAAAAAGGUCCGAAGACCACGGUGCACAGGUGUAUGUAUUGGAUAAGUGCUUGCGCACAUCUCUAAUGAUCCUUCCGCAGGUUCACCUACGGAAA
Molecule: unclassified non-coding RNA, 137 nt
Filed under: uncultured fungus
Lineage: Eukaryota; Fungi
Description: sequence contains ITS1
Source: RNAcentral